This 71-nucleotide transfer RNA is filed under the name Cnemaspis neangthyi. Its description in RNAcentral is "tRNA-Trp". Lineage: Eukaryota; Metazoa; Chordata; Lepidosauria; Squamata; Gekkonidae. The record is from RNAcentral.
AAAUUUAGGAUAACUUGUUUAAACCAAAGGCCUUCAAAGCCUAAAAUAAGAGCUACACCCUCUUAAUUUCU